CAUCGUAGAUGUCCUCAGUUAAGAAGAGGCGGCCCUAAUCCAGCAUGACUGGUGUCCUUGUGAGAAGAGGGAGAGACACAGAGAGCAUACGACGUGAAGACACAGAGGCACAGCGCUGGACGCAGGCAGAGACUGGAGUGACGCUACCACAAGCCAAGUAAUUUGCCCAAGUUCAUAAACAAGUCUGGCUCUCGGCAGUGAGCACCAGUGAGCAUCUACACAGCCGUCUUGGAGGCAGGAGGCAGGAGGAGGCAAGCUGUGUGUCACCGCACUUCAGCACUGCUCAGGACUCUGGGUUUGCUCCUGGUGCCAUGCUGCGCCCUCUCUCCAGAGGCUUUCCCCCACGAGCCAGCCUUCUGGAGCUGAGAGCCGGGAGAAAAAGCAGGAUGUGCUGGUGGACAGCUGACGGGAUGAAGUCAGCUGUUCCCGGCGCUGGAGCUUUGCUGAGGCCGCUGGAGCCUGGAACACCACUGCAAUUCAUUGCAUCUUGCAGCAGUGACAUUAUAUUAACAAAUAAUAGUAAUUAUAGUAACAACGAAUUGUGAUAGGAGUAAUCAAAUAACAGCGACACUAGAGCUAA
Equus caballus (horse) is the source of this 580-nucleotide non-coding RNA. The record is from RefSeq and is a predicted model, not a curated record. Lineage: Eukaryota; Metazoa; Chordata; Mammalia; Perissodactyla; Equidae.